ACCAGGCACAGUGGCGCGUGCCUAUAGUCCCAGCUACUUGGGAGGCUGAGGUGGGAGGAUUGCUUGAGUCCAGCAGUUCUGGGAUGUAGUGCGCUAUGCCGAUUGGGUAUCCACACUAAGUUCGGCAUAUGGUGGCCUUCCAGGAGUGGGGGACCACCAGGUUGCUUAAGGAAGGGUGAACUGGCCCAGGUCGGAAACAGAGCAGGUCAAACUCCUGUGCUGAUCAGUAGUAGGAUCGUGCCUGUGAAUAGCCACUGCACUCCAGCCUGGGCAACAUAGCAAGACCUCGUCUCU
This 294-nucleotide signal recognition particle RNA is filed under the name Aotus nancymaae (Ma's night monkey). Its description in RNAcentral is "Metazoan signal recognition particle RNA (ENSANAG00000010014.1)". It matches the Rfam family "Metazoan signal recognition particle RNA". From Rfam's summary of the family: The signal recognition particle (SRP) is a universally conserved ribonucleoprotein. It is involved in the co-translational targeting of proteins to membranes. Lineage: Eukaryota; Metazoa; Chordata; Mammalia; Primates; Aotidae. The record is from RNAcentral.